Molecule: ribosomal RNA, 456 nt
Filed under: uncultured Pelotomaculum sp.
Lineage: Bacteria; Bacillati; Bacillota; Clostridia; Eubacteriales; Desulfotomaculaceae
Description: bacterial SSU rRNA
Rfam family: Bacterial small subunit ribosomal RNA
Source: RNAcentral
GCGGUGGAGCAUGUGGUUUAAUUCGACGCAACGCGAAGAACCUUACCAGGGCUUGACAUCCCCUGACCGCGUAUGAAAGUACGUUUUCACCUUCGGGAGACAGGGAGACAGGUGGUGCAUGGUUGUCGUCAGCUCGUGUCGUGAGAUGUUGGGUUAAGUCCCGCAACGAGCGCAACCCCUACGUUUAGUUGCUAACGCGUGAAGGCGAGCACUCUAGACGAACUGCCGUUGACAAAACGGAGGAAGGUGGGGAUGACGUCAAGUCCUCAUGGCCUUUAUGACCAGGGCUACACACGUACUACAAUGGCCGGUACAAAGGGCAGCGACACAGCGAUGUGAAGCCAAUCCCGAAAAGCCGGUCUCAGUCCGGAUUGGAGUCUGCAACUCGACUCCAUGAAGUUGGAAUCGCUAGUAAUCGCGGAUCAGCACGCCGCGGUGAAUACGUUCCCGGGCCUU